UACGUAGGGGGCUAGCGUUGUCCGGAAUCAUUGGGCGUAAAGCGCGUGUAGGCGGCCAGGUAGGUCCGAUGUGAAAACUGGAGGCUCAACCUCCAGCUGUCAUUGGAAACCAUCUGGCUAGAGUCCGGAAGAGGAGAGUGGAAUUCCUGGUGUAGCGGUGAAAUGCGCAGAUAUCAGGAAGAACACCGAUGGCGAAGGCAGCUCUCUGGGACGGUACUGACGCUGAGACGCGAAAGCGUGGGGAGCGAACAGG
This 253-nucleotide ribosomal RNA is filed under the name uncultured bacterium. Its description in RNAcentral is "partial 16S ribosomal RNA". It matches the Rfam family "Bacterial small subunit ribosomal RNA", at positions 524 to 776 of the family's 1533-position model. The record is from RNAcentral.